RNA transcript from Nerophis ophidion (straightnose pipefish), 7119 nucleotides. RefSeq lists it as uncharacterized. Lineage: Eukaryota; Metazoa; Chordata; Actinopteri; Syngnathiformes; Syngnathidae. The transcript is spliced from 3 exons. The record is from RefSeq and is a predicted model, not a curated record.
UGAGGCAGUCACGUGAGCAAGACUUGCCCCCCCAGCUGCCCGGGAACAGGAACAGGAACAGCAGCAGCAGGAGGACAAGCAGCCAAGCACUGCAGGAGCGCGUCUGUCGCGCAUGCGCCUUAUCGGAUCCUUGCUUUUCAACCUCGCAGUUGGACGUUGCUCUUCCUCCUCUUCCUCCUCCUCCUCUUCUUCUGCCUGGUAGCUAGCUCGCACAGAUUCUGCGAGCGUUGGCGGCAGAGACACAGCGACGCGAAUAGAUGUCUCCGGAACCAGCGUGGAGGGAAUCGAUCGUCGAAAGACUUGUCACCUCCAUGCUCGAGUGAAGGGAAAUUACAGUACAUGAACAGUCCCUCUUGACUGCCAUGAUGCUUGGACUCCAGGGAAAUUCGUCACCGUCCAAAAUUUACCAUUGUGUGGCAUGUUCGGCUUCCUUCAGUGGUCUGGCCUCUUUGCUCGUGCACCAAGCAACCCAUGCCAACACGCUCCCUAAGGUCAACACUCCCACUACGACACAGACUGACAUGAGCCCGCACGACACCCUGACGGCCAGCCAAAACCCGUCCAGUGAGGCGCACAGUUCCUCAGUAUCUCUCUAUAUCUGUGAUUGUGGCGAGGAAUUUCAUGACUUCAGUCUUAUGCUUGAACAUAAGCAAUUGCAUGUCUCUCAAGCACAGAGACCGCAGAAGCCAGACGGUACAGUCCUCGCAGGUGCAUUAGAGGCUGAUAUUGGUCUAACUGAGAAUGUAACACCAAGCCCAAUGAUAGAUUUUGUCCCGAGCUCUCAGUCUAUUUCAGGGUCCUCACUUGUUCAAAGAGAACCUGUUUCGAGCUGUCUUUCUACUAUAGGAUCCUCUCUUGUUAAAGAAGAACUUGUCCCGAGCUGUUCAUCUACUUCAGGGUCCACUCUUGUUCAAAAAGAAUUUGUCCCGAGCUGUCCAUCUACUUCAGGGUCCUCUCUUGUUCAAGAAGAGCAUAGAGAAAAUGAAAGACUGGAAGAAAGAGAUGCAGCUCCAGGAAUUCCUCCACAGGAAAAUCAAACAGCGCCAGAAAUUGGUGAACAAUGUGACCAAACAUUGGCAAUAAGUGACUCAAUCAAUGCGAAAGUUGAAAAUCCUCCACAAGAAUAUCAAACAGCGCCAGAAAUUGGUGAACAAUGUGACCAAAAAUUGUCAAGAAGUGACCCGAUCAAUGCGAAAGUUGAAAAUACUCCACAAGAACAUCAAACAGCGCCAGAAAUAGGUGAACAAUGUGACCAAACAUUGGCAACAAGUCACUCAAUCAAUGCGAAAGUCGAAAAUGUCGAAGAGAAGAGCCAGGACUUGCGGAAGCCUGUUAUCAGUGGUGAAGAAGGGAGUUUGGCCUCAAAAGACAAAGUAAUGAAAUUACUGGCAUCUGCAUACAUGAAGUGCAACUCAGUGUCUCCGUGUCCAAAUGAAAAUAAUGAGUUCAUAACCCUCAAACAAGAAGCCAUCCCAGUUGAUAUUACUGAUAUCACACCAGUCCAAAUACCUGGACCCCAACCUGAACCUAUCAAAGAUCUCUCUGUGGCAAAAAUUAGGCGAUUGCUUGCACAGCCAGGCAUCAAGACCAAAGCGCCAACUAUUAGCAAAAUUAUCGAUAGCAGCAGGAAGAAGAUAGUCUCUCUGACAAAAAUGCUCUCACCCGUUGUGGUUCUAGAAACCCGUCAGAAGCUCAGAGAUUCUAGCAACAAUGGCCUCUUUGGGAAAUAUCAAUGCGGCCGAUGUCGUCGCACAUUUCCAAACUCAGACCGACUAACCGAGCAUCACUUCUUGCACAAAAAGGAGAGGAUUAAGUGUUGUCGUCGCUGCAAACAACUCAUCAUUGGGAAGCUGCCUUUCACUGACAAUCAUGUAUGCACUCCAUCUGGGAAAAAGUCUGAUCAAUUGUCAAGCACGUUGCCACUAGCUCCAAAAAUAAUGCCAUUACAUGGCUUAAACAAUACAAAAAAAUCCUUCUAUUGUCCGGUGUGCAAGCACAACUAUGCCCGCAGGUACAACCUGAAGAAGCAUAAGUGUCAGGGUCCGAAAACGGCCCCAAUCCAGGUAUCUCACUGCACCGCUGAUAAAAUGCUAGCCUUAAGAUCAAGCAGUCAAGCAGGAACACCGAGGGACGAUCGCUUUCAACUUUCCAGAAACAUGUGUGUUAGCACUGAUGUACCCAGUCCGCUUAAAGUAGAGGUGACAUCUACCACUUCUGAAAAGUCGUAUAUUUCCGAUAUGGCCUGGUCUGGUUUUGCCAAAAGCUUCCCACCGUUUCUGCCCACGCAUUCAACGAGGGAUCAGCAUAGUGUCAUGGAAAACAGUCACUUGGAUGCAGCGUCAGUUCAUAAUGACAGCAGCAAUGAAGGCCAGUGGACAAUGCCUUUGGAUGAUGAAGCCGAACUCCUUAGUCCCUCACUGAACACUUUUAACAACCUUAAACCGGGGGAGUCUGAGUCUGAUGCGAUGGGUAAUCAGAGUUAUAUUGUCAGUGAUGGUGUCCAACGUUACCCUUGUCACAGGUGUCAAAAAACUUACAGUCGUCUUUCUACCCUGGAAAGGCAUUUACUCCUCUGUGGGUCGAGGCCUCAGGCUCCUGGAACUGUAUCACCGAGUGGUGGUGGUGGUGGUGGUGGUGGUGGUGGUGGUCAGUGGAUGCCUUCACAAAACAGUGGCACCAAGCCAAUGUAUCCUUGCUUUGUCUGCGGAAGAACCUUCAACCGUAAAGACAAUAUGAUGGCGCACAGGCGAAAAUGUCAGUUGCAACAGCACACAAACCAACAGCUGGUACAGCCCAUUUUGUCAGGUGGUGCUAAAGAGAGCUCGGAUAAUGAUGCUAACAACUGGGGCAUGAUGUCCCUCCCCUCUGUGCUGCCAAGGAGAGUGACCUGCGAGUGUGGGGUUGGAUUUACAUCUCCAAGACUGCUUCUAGAGCAUCUACAAAAGCAUGCACAGGAAUCCUACACUUGUCCAACUUGUGGCGAGACUGUCAAUUCCUGGUCCGACUAUGAAGUUCACCUGCAGAUCCACAUGCAUCCUCACCACCAACUGCUGAAGGGGAUACAUACACAACGGUCACAACCCCUUGUAUUACGGAUCCAACAACCUCCCCCUCAACCACAGCCUCCAACUCCUCCUGUGCAUCAGCCUCCACAAAAACAACCAGUCCCUGUGCGGGUGAGCGUGGGGAAAAAGCAACGGUCUGUAUGCGCGCGAUGCGGGAAUUCAUUUGCCUCCCGAUGUUCCCUUCGAAGGCACUUGGCAUGGAACCGAUGCAAGGGCAGCCGGCCUCAAACUGUGCCCAAAGCCUAUCGCUGCUCCCGGUGUAGCUCUGAAUUCCCCAACAUGGUCAGUCUUCUAUUUCACCAGAGGAGCGGCGCCUGCAAACCUGCCAUCAAGCCUGUGCGUUGCCCCGUUUGCCUCCGCUGGUUUGGAACAGUUGAGACUCUGCAAAGGCACCUCCUGACUCACAAACAGUCAGAAUCACACCGCUGUGAUAUUUGUAACGGAACAUACCCAAGUCUGAAAUCACUGAAAAACCAUCGCAGGAGGAUCCAUCGCAUCAUGGCUACAAAUGUGACGCAUCAGUCGCAAGAAUUAUUGACUUAAUUUAAUUUCUUUUCUACUAAGUUGUAAAAUGGAUGAGGUGUAUUUCAGAAAAUUCCACUUUUUGCAUUGUACUUGUAUCAAAUGUAAAUAGAUUACAUUGAUGUUUGUGUUGUUGUUUUUUUUGUUUUUUUUGAAUGAAAUGGAGAAACAUGUUAGGCUUUAUAGCAGUUUUCUGUCGUAAAAUGAAAUAUUCCAUGUGUGUACAACCAUUUUGUCAAGUACUGUACGGUAUUUCAGGUUAAAGGUUGUAAAUAAUUAGAGAUCAAAUUUUAUCCAAUAGUUGUAAUGUAGCUAGCUUGUUCUGGAUGUUAUUAAAUAUAUCAAUUGAUUAAAGCUUUGCAUAUUUAUUUAUGUACUACUUGGAAGAAGGGGGGUUUCAAAGCACCACAUAGAAUAUUAUAUGAUAAGGGCAUUCUGUGUUGGCCCUGCGAUGAGGUGGCGACUUGUCCAGGAUGUAGCUGAGACGGAAUCCAGCACCCUCCUGUCAUGAAAGGGACUAGUGGUAGGUAGAAAAUGGAUGGAUAGGGCUUACCCCAUCCCCCAUUUUGUUUUCCAUUCACUAUAAAGUGUUGAUGCGUUAGGGCAUUAGAAACAUGUUAGGUAUUAGCAUGCUUACUUUUUUUAAAAGCUAAUUUUGCAGUCAUAUUCCUGUCUGUGUCAUACGACAGCUGAUAUUAGUGCUAAAUGUUAAUUUGGCAGCCAGUCACCUCAGGGUCAUGAAACUGCUUAUUCUCGCUGUCGGAGUUAUAUGAUUAGGGCCGGGCCGAGCCCCUAUUGUUUUUCCCCCAUUCACCCUGAAAGUCUUGAUAAGUCAGGGCAUUAGAAACAUGUGUAUAUGUUAGCUAUUAGCAUGUUUACUUUUUUAAAAGCUAAUUUUGCAGUAAUAUAUUUGUGUGUGUCAUAUGACAGCUGAUAUAAGUAUGCUAAAUGUUAAUUUGGCAGCCAGUCACCUUAGGGUCAUAAAACUUUGUGUAUUUGCGUUGUUGGAGAUGAACAUUCAUACAUUUAUACAAAAAGUUUGGCUUUUAAUUUUCUUUGGAAGUCUUCUGGUCCCUCCCUCGUCAUGCCUCACGCUUUGAAAAUUCCUGCUCAAAUUGGAUGUGCAUGCGUCUUUAAGUAUCGUCACACAGGCAUUUGACAUGAAAAUAACAUCAAUAAUUACAAUAACAAUUGUAAUUAAACACCUUUCAAUAAAUAAACGUUUCAAUAAAAUAUUUAAACAUAAGACAACGUUUUUCAUGCACACAAUCGACGGUAUUUCUGAACGUUAAAAUGAUAAUCAAAGGUACUUGCAGCCUUCCGUCAGUAGGGGGCAGUAUAAGCCAGUAAACACCGGAUCUGCUGGACCAAAGCGCGCCAUUCGUCGAAGAAGCAGAAACUCUUCUUUUCAUGGUGUGGUCACUGGUCAGACGCUAUCUGUGCCAAAAGCACGGCAUUGCAGCUUCCCCCUAAAGGACAUCGGUUCGUUUGUGCCCCAUUUGUGGAAAGGGUGACCAAGUAAAGUCUCAACUCGGCGGUACUGUCGAUAUCCUAGCAAGGUACCACAGAAGGGUCCACGUUGAAGUGAAGCGAACACAUCCAUUCUUGGUUUCACUAUGGAUCAAAAAUAUCGUCCAAAGGCUCUGAAAUCCAGCCCGGGCGUCGGUUUGAGCACUGGCGGGAUCUGCUUUUGCUGUGAGCAGAUCUUUUCCAGUCGGACAUUUUUGGAGGAGCACAUCUGCCCCUCUGCAAAUCACAUCUGCUCCUGCGGGACGGAGUUCAGCAAAUAUGCCGAUAUGCUGCUCCACAACAGCACUCACGAACCUGGACAGCAGGUGCUGGAUCACGAAACGAUAAGAAAGCGCAGAUUUCAGAAGCACAUUGAAGAGGAGGAGAAGCUGAAACGAUUCAAGUCAGGUCAAGUCGUGUGGAGUUCACAAAAAGCGGAUGGUGGUCCCACAACUUCCUUGGGGCAGCGAUCACUACAAGCACCUGGGGCAUCCGCUUCCUUGCUUACAAAUCCCAAGCGCUCCCCGCAGAUUUCCCAAGUGCCUGCCUUGAAUCCAUCGUCAUCCUUGUUCUCAAAGCCUCGCCAAAAAGGAAUAGAUAUGAAAAACAUGUUUUCCGGGGUAGGCUCACCCACAGUGGAUCUUUGGACACUAUACCAACCUGUGGUGUUGGUGCAGACAGUCCGCAAGUUUAACAAGUGGAAGCCAUACACUUGCGCUAAAUGCGGCGAGGGUUUCAUCACCAAGCGCACGCUUGUUUCUCACGCUAGCAUCCACGUCAUGGAUAAAGUUUCCGGCUGUAUUGGAUGUGGGAUGCUGCUUUGCAGCCGAAAGUUAGUGCCUCGCUUCCAUGAUUGUAACUCCCCCAUCACUCAGACCAAAUUGAAACUUGUCACGGCCAGGCCGCUCAAUUACAAGAGCCCGAUUCCGUCAAUCGACCUGACUCAGGAGUCGCCGAGGCAUCACCUGACGUCCGCCGUCAACAGGAACAAAAGCAGCCAGGUGCUUCAAGUCACUUCAGCGCUGCAGUUGAAAAAUCUAAACGUCCGAACAUACAGCAGAUCCGCUCAGGGACCUCACGCCUCGAUGUCCCAGCAGAUGAAAAAGCAGAAUUCUCUCGUCAACGCGCCUCAUAACACAUAUGCGUCCAUCAAAAGCAAUUGGAAGCAUUCUUCCACGUCUGCAGCGAUGAGCUUCCUCAGCCAACCAAUCCAAACCCCCUCAGAUGGGAAUGAGUUCAAAUGUCGAGUGUGUUACAUCCCCUUCGAAAGCACCAUGCAGCUCCAGAGGCACAAGUGUGCCAAAGCCAAGGAGUUUAUGGCCAAACACGGGCGGCUCGGCAAGCUCAUCAAGCCCAGGCGCAUCAACACGAUGGCGGUUCCAAAUCCUGACGUCACUCAGGUCAACGGUGAGAGAAAUUGCACGUUCCCAGUCGGCGGCACGAAAGAACAGGUCAUCACCGACAAGGGGCAAGGUGCUGCUGAGGAUGCAGGAGGGGAUCUGGAAGACGAUUGUUACAUUGUGGAGAGCCAACCAGAGAAACCCGCUGAAGUGAUCUACCAGGUUACCUCAUCUGUCCCAAUUAAAACUUGACCAGUGUACAUGUCCAACAUUGAGCUAAUAUUGGCCCAAAUAUCAUCUGGUUGUGUCCAUUCCAAAGGAAUAUCCUGUUUUCUGACACUUUUUGAACUUUUAAGCAUCCUUGUACGCGUGUAGUUUGGAUAGAACUAAAUAUGCAUUUUAAAUUUGCUGGACCCACACUAAUACAAACAUCCACCAAAAAAGUUAUGUAUACUUACCAGUGUAUUUAUACUUUCAAGUUAUGAUAAUGAUGGAUUAUGUGAUCAAAGUGUGUGCGGUUGCACCAUGCAGCAAGGCAAUGUAUAAUAGUUUUCUUGUUCUUUUAUUUUCUAAAUAUGUUUUAGCGUGAUCCGAAUGUGUUAGGUUGUAUGAAUUCACCCCCAUGGCAUACUACUUCCCUCUGUUGUAUUUCAAAUAAACAUGUAUUAAAAUAUAUUUUCAAA